Molecule: ribosomal RNA, 261 nt
Filed under: uncultured archaeon
Lineage: Archaea
Description: partial 16S ribosomal RNA
Rfam family: Archaeal small subunit ribosomal RNA
Source: RNAcentral
UAGCCGUAAACGAUACUCGCUAGGUGUCGGCCACGGUGCGACCGUUGUCGGUGCCGUAGGGAAGCCGUGAAGCGAGCCACCUGGGAAGUACGGCCGCAAGGCUGAAACUUAAAGGAAUUGGCGGGGGAGCACCAUAACGGGUGGAGCUUGCGGUUUAAUUGGAUUCAACGCCGGAAAUCUUACCGGGACCGACAGCAACAUGAAGGCCAGGCUGAAGACUUUGCCGGAUUAGCUGAGAGGAGGUGCAUGGCGUAGUCGUGU